UAUUUUUUCUAAUUAUCUGUUUAUGUUGAACUAAACAUUUGUAUUUAUAAGUUGAAUUUAUCUCUAAAACAAAGAAAAUGUUUCUGACUAUGUAUCAUAGCAACAUACUAUAUAAACGCUAUCUGUCAAAAUUUACGAGGGUAUAGACAAAGUUGAAUUAUAUUCUGAAAUUGAAAUAUUUUAAAACGCAAGAAUGUGUUGCAUACUUUGGAUCUGUAACACGUUUUGGUCUUCGUGUAGGGGAGAAAGCAAUCCCGAAGAGUCCAAAAGUGAUGUAGAAAAAGCAGACGAAGCAAAAAAAUGAGGAUAAAUGAAAGAAAAUACAAGAAUACCGUAUAGGCGUUUUCACAUUUGCUUUUAUGCUCAAAUUUCAAAUUAUAAAUUUUGGAAGUUGGCCCUUACAGAAGAUUUGUCAAGCCGUCAUCUAAAAUGUUCCUAUGUAUAUUCUACAGUUCAAUGAAGAGAUUGUACUCAUUUGAAUGAAAUAUGCAACGAAAAAUAAAGAAUAUUCUAAUUAAA
Molecule: long non-coding RNA, 519 nt
Organism: Homalodisca vitripennis (glassy-winged sharpshooter)
Lineage: Eukaryota; Metazoa; Arthropoda; Insecta; Hemiptera; Cicadellidae
Exons: 2
Source: RefSeq, a predicted model, not a curated record